RNAcentral lists this ribosomal RNA (1462 nucleotides) under uncultured organism. Its description in RNAcentral is "SSU rRNA". It matches the Rfam family "Bacterial small subunit ribosomal RNA". The record is from RNAcentral.
CGUGCCUAAUACAUGCAAGUAGAACGCUGAAGAGAGGAGCUUGCUCUUCUUGGAUGAGUUGCGAACGGGUGAGUAACGCGUAGGUAACCUGCCUUGUAGCGGGGGAUAACUAUUGGAAACGAUAGCUAAUACCGCAUAACAAUGGAUGACACAUGUCAUUUAUUUGAAAGGGGCAAAUGCUCCACUACAAGAUGGACCUGCGUUGUAUUAGCUAGUAGGUGAGGUAACGGCUCACCUAGGCGACGAUACAUAGCCGACCUGAGAGGGUGAUCGGCCACACUGGGACUGAGACACGGCUCAGACUCCUACGGGAGGCAGCAGUAGGGAAUCUUCGGCAAUGGGGGCAACCCUGACCGAGCAACGCCGCGUGAGUGAAGAAGGUUUUCGGAUCGUAAAGCUCUGUUGUAAGUCAAGAACGAGUGUGAGAGUGGAAAGUUCACACUGUGACGGUAGCUUACCAGAAAGGGACGGCUAACUACGUGCCAGCAGCCGCGGUAAUACGUAGGUCCCGAGCGUUGUCCGGAUUUAUUGGGCGUAAAGCGAGCGCAGGCGGUUUGAUAAGUCUGAAGUUAAAGGCUGUGGCUCAACCAUAGUUCGCUUUGGAAACUGUCAAACUUGAGUGCAGAGGGGGAGAGUGGAAUUCCAUGUGUAGCGGUGAAAUGCGUAGAUAUAUGGAGGAACACCGGUGGCGAAAGCGGCUCUCUGGUCUGUAACUGACGCUGAGGCUCGAAAGCGUGGGGAGCGAACAGGAUUAGAUACCCUGGUAGUCCACGCCGUAAACGAUGAGUGCUAGGUGUUGGAUCCUUUCCGGGAUUCAGUGCCGCAGCUAACGCAUUAAGCACUCCGCCUGGGGAGUACGACCGCAAGGUUGAAACUCAAAGGAAUUGACGGGGGCCCGCACAAGCGGUGGAGCAUGUGGUUUAAUUCGAAGCAACGCGAAGAACCUUACCAGGUCUUGACAUCCCGAUGCUAUUUCUAGAGAUAGAAAGUUACUUCGGUACAUCGGUGACAGGUGGUGCAUGGUUGUCGUCAGCUCGUGUCGUGAGAUGUUGGGUUAAGUCCCGCAACGAGCGCAACCCCUAUUGUUAGUUGCCAUCAUUCAGUUGGGCACUCUAGCGAGACUGCCGGUAAUAAACCGGAGGAAGGUGGGGAUGACGUCAAAUCAUCAUGCCCCUUAUGACCUGGGCUACACACGUGCUACAAUGGUUGGUACAACGAGUUGCGAGUCGGUGACGGCAAGCUAAUCUCUUAAAGCCAAUCUCAGUUCGGAUUGUAGGCUGCAACUCGCCUACAUGAAGUCGGAAUCGCUAGUAAUCGCGGAUCAGCACGCCGCGGUGAAUACGUUCCCGGGCCUUGUACACACCGCCCGUCACACCACGAGAGUUUGUAACACCCGAAGUCGGUGAGGUAACCUUUUGGAGCCAGCCGCCUAAGGUGGGAUAGAUGAUUGGGGUGAAGUCGU